Molecule: ribosomal RNA, 480 nt
Filed under: uncultured bacterium
Lineage: Bacteria
Description: bacterial SSU rRNA
Rfam family: Bacterial small subunit ribosomal RNA
Source: RNAcentral
GAUGAACGCUAGCGGCAGGCUUAACACAUGCAAGUCGAGGGGCAACACGGGUAGCAAUACCUGGUGGCGACCGGCGCAAGGGUGCGUAACGCGUGAGCAACAUACCCUAUACAGGGGGAUAAUCCAGGGAAACUUGGUCUAAUAUCCCAUAGGAUUUACAGAUGUCAUCAUCUAUAAAUUAAAGCUUCGGUGGUAUAGGAUUGGCUCGCGUGACAUUAGCUAGAUGGUGGGGUAACGGCCUACCAUGGCCAUGAUGUCUAGGGGUUCUGAGAGGAAGACCCCCCCAACUGGGACUGAGACACGGCCCAGACUCCUACGGGAGGCAGCAGUGAGGAAUAUUGGACAAUGGGAUGGGAAAUCUGAUCCAGCCAUGCCGCGUGCAGGAAGACGGCCCUAUGGGUUGUAAACUGCUUUUAAUGGGAGCAAUAAGGUCUAACGCGUAGACCGAUGAGAGUACCAUAUGAAUAAGCAUCGGCUACG